RNAcentral lists this unclassified non-coding RNA (253 nucleotides) under uncultured Actinomycetes bacterium. RNAcentral's name for it is "uncultured actinobacterium contains 16S-23S intergenic spacer region". It matches the Rfam family "Bacterial small subunit ribosomal RNA", at positions 524 to 776 of the family's 1533-position model. Lineage: Bacteria; Bacillati; Actinomycetota; Actinomycetes. The record is from RNAcentral.
CACGUAGGGCGCGAGCGUUGUCCGGAAUUAUUGGGCGUAAAGAGCUCGUAGGCGGUCUGCCACGUCCGCUGUGAAAACCUAGGGCUUAACCCUGGGCUUGCAGUAGAUACGGGCAGACUAGAGGUAGGUAGGGGAGAAUGGAAUUCCCGGUGUAGCGGUGAAAUGCGUAGAGAUCUGGAGGAAUACCGAUGGCGAAGGCAGCCAUCUGGCCUAAUACUGACGCUGAGGUACGAAAGCAUGGGGAGCAAACAGG